Molecule: ribosomal RNA, 171 nt
Filed under: uncultured bacterium
Lineage: Bacteria
Description: partial 16S ribosomal RNA
Rfam family: Bacterial small subunit ribosomal RNA
Source: RNAcentral
GAAGUUGGAUUCGCUAGUAAUCGCGCAUCAGCCAUGGCGCGGUGAAUACGUUCCCGGGCCUUGUACACACCGCCCGUCAAGCCAUGGGAGCUGGGGGUGCCUGAAGUUCGUGACCGCAAGGAUCGACCUAGGGCAAAACCGGUGACUGGGGCUAAGUCGUAACAAGGUACC